GGGUGCGUAGGCGGCUAUUUAAGUCAGCGGUGAAAUUUUGCAGCUUAACUGUAACAGUGCCGUUGAAACUGUUUAGCUAGGAUUUGGUUGCAGUGUGCGGAAUGUGUGGUGUAGCGGUGAAAUGCUUAGAUAUCACACAGAACACCAAUUGCGAAGGCGGCACACUAAGUCAAUAUUGACGCUGAGGCACGAAAGUGUGGGGAUCAAACAGGAUUAGAUACCCUGGUAGUCCACACUGUAAACGAUGAUAACUCGCUGCCGGCGAUACAUUGUCGGUGGCCAUGCGAAAGCAUUAAGUUAUCCACCUGGGGAGUACGACCGCAAGGUUGAAACUCAAAGGAAUUGACGGGGGCCCGCACAAGCGGAGGAACAUGUGGUUUAAUUCGAUGAUACGCGAGGAACCUUACCCGGGCUCGAACGGUGCAUGAAUAUAUGAGAGAUUGUAUAGUCUUCGGACAUGCAUCGAGGUGCUGCAUGGUUGUCGUCAGCUCGUGCCGUGAGGUGUCGGCUUAAGUGCCAUAACGAGCGCAACCCUUGUCAUUAGUUGCCAUCAGGUUAAGCUGGGGACUUUAAUGAGACUGCCACCGUAAGGUGUGAGGAAGGUGGGGAUGACGUCAAAUCAGCACGGCCCUUAUGUCCGGGGCGACACACGUGUUACAAUGGGAGGUACAGAGGGCAGCCAUCCGGCGACGGAGCGCUAAUCUCGAAAACCUUUCUCAGUUCGGAUUGGAGUCUGCAACUCGACUCCAUGAAGGUGGAUUCGCUAGUAAUCGCGCAUCAGCCAUGGCGCGGUGAAUACGUUCCCGGGCCUUGUACACACCGCCCGUCAAGCCAUGGAAGCUUGGGGUGCCUGAAGUUCGUGACCGCAAGGAGCGACCUAGGGCAAAACAGGUAACUGGGGCUAAGUCGUAACAAGGUAGCCGUA
Molecule: ribosomal RNA, 925 nt
Filed under: uncultured bacterium
Lineage: Bacteria
Description: bacterial SSU rRNA
Rfam family: Bacterial small subunit ribosomal RNA
Source: RNAcentral